This 468-nucleotide ribosomal RNA is filed under the name uncultured bacterium. Its description in RNAcentral is "partial 16S ribosomal RNA". It matches the Rfam family "Bacterial small subunit ribosomal RNA", at positions 28 to 507 of the family's 1533-position model. The record is from RNAcentral.
GACGAACGCUGGCGGCGUGCUUAACACAUGCAAGUCGAACGGAAAGGCCCUGCUUUUGUGGGGUGCUCGAGUGGCGAACGGGUGAGUAACACGUGAGUAACCUGCCCUUGACUUUGGGAUAACUUCAGGAAACUGGGGCUAAUACAGGAUAGGAGCUCCUGCUGCAUGGUGGGGGUUGGAAAGUUUCGGCGGUUGGGGAUGGACUCGCGGCUUAUCAGCUUGUUGGUGGGGUAGUGGCUUACCAAGUCUUUGACGGGUAGCCUGCCUGAGAGGGUGACCGGCCACAUUGUUGCUGAGGUACGGCCCAGACUCCUACGGGAGGCAGCAGUGGGGAAUAGUGCACAGUGGGCGGAAGCCUGAUGCAGCAACGCCGCGUGCGGGAUGACGGCCUUCGGGUUGUAAACCGCUUUCGCCUGUGACGAAGCUUGAGUGACGGUAAUGGGUAAAGAAGCACCGGCUAACUACGUG